UGGUGGCGAGUGGCGAACGGGUGAGUAACAUAUCGGAACGUACCCUAUCGUGGGGGAUAACUAUCCGAAAGGAUAGCUAAUACCGCAUACGACCUGAGGGUGAAAGCGGGGGAUCGCAAGACCUCGCGCGAAAGGAGCGGCCGAUAUCGGAUUAGCUAGUUGGUGAGGUAAAGGCUCACCAAGGCGACGAUCCGUAGCGGGUUUGAGAGGAUGAUCCGCCACACUGGUACUGAGACACGGCCCAGACUCC
RNAcentral lists this ribosomal RNA (250 nucleotides) under uncultured bacterium. Its description in RNAcentral is "partial 16S ribosomal RNA". It matches the Rfam family "Bacterial small subunit ribosomal RNA", at positions 86 to 339 of the family's 1533-position model. The record is from RNAcentral.